Sapajus apella (tufted capuchin) is the source of this 916-nucleotide long non-coding RNA. RefSeq lists it as uncharacterized. NCBI's taxonomy places the organism in Eukaryota, Metazoa, Chordata, Mammalia, Primates, Cebidae. The record is from RefSeq and is a predicted model, not a curated record. The transcript is spliced from 3 exons.
CCCUUCCUUUCACAGUAAUCCUCAUGUCCAUGCAGUAGCUCCUUGUCUUUGCCAUAGUCCACAGAAGGCUUACCAGCCAGGCCGCGUUUCCCAGGAACUCAACCUCUCUGACUUCCAGGCAUAGAACACACAGAACUUGGGGCCCGGCAGACACCUCUAUAGCUCUUAUUAUUUGAAUCACAGGAGUUCCCUGGAGUCAGCACCUGGAGGAGGAGUGCCCCAAACCUGCUGACCCUCUUUGGUCCAGAGCUGUGGACAUUGCUGGUUCUGUGAGUUUGUUUUCCUGGCUCCGGUCUGCCCUGUGCCCUGGAAAUAGGAGGUAAGAAGAGACAGGAAAAGGAGGCCUGGAUGCCUAGAGAUUUUCCACUUCUAGCAAGAACAUUGUCAAGCAAGAGUUCAACCUACCCAUUUCACAGAUGCAGUAACUGAGGUGUUGUGAGGCUGCAGGCCUCGCCUCACAGAGAGUUUAUAAAGACUAGAAGCCCAGGCCAGGUGACCCCCGUGUGAAGCUUUUCCUAUAUUUAUGUACUAUUUCUCUACUAUUUCUUGACCAGCCUAGAGUGAAUCUCACCUCCUCAAAUGAUAUGGUAUGAAUGUUUGUCCCUGCCAAAUCUCAUAUUGAAAUAUGAUUUCCAUUGCCGGAGGUGAGGCCUGGCAGAAAGCGAUUGGAUCAUGGAGGCAGACUCCUCAUGAAUGGAUUAGCACCAUCCUCUUAGUUCAUGUAAGAUCUGGUUGUUUCAAAGAGUCUGGGACUUCCCCCUUCUCUCUCAUGCUCCCACUCUUGCCCUAUGAUGCACCUGCUCCCCUUUGCCUUUCAUCAUGAUUUAAGCUUUCUGAGGCUUCACCAGAAGGAGUUGCUGGCAUUACGCUUCUUGUACAGUCUGCAGAAUUGUAAGCCAAUUAAAACUCGUUUUAA